This 1711-nucleotide long non-coding RNA is filed under the name Callithrix jacchus (white-tufted-ear marmoset). Its description in RNAcentral is "lncRNA (ENSCJAG00000082289.1)". Lineage: Eukaryota; Metazoa; Chordata; Mammalia; Primates; Cebidae. The record is from RNAcentral.
CCAUAAAUAUAUACACCUACUAUGUACCCACAAAUUUUUUUAAAUGUGGAAGAUUUAAAAAAAUCAUAUCCUCCAAAUCCCCGUCUAUUUUUGCAUUUUUCUUCCAUUCAAAAAUCUAGCCAUAGACUUUGAAUCGAGAACCGAGACAGGAAUUUUGUCCCUAGUAACUCUCCUUGGCCAUUAGUGUUCUGUCCAUUCCUCCUAUUUUUAUGUAACAUGCUAAUAUUUGAAUAUUACAGUCUUACAAAAUAAAGUUUUCUAUGAAUGACCUAUCCAUAAGUACACACUGUUUUAGGAAUUAUGUUUCCCUGGACCCCAUGAAUGCCUUAGGUUAAAUCCUAAAAAGAUAUAAAACAAUAUACAGACAGUCCCUGACUUAGAAUGGUUUCCAUAUGAUUUUUUUGACUUUAUGAUAGUGCAAAAGUGAUAUGCUUUCAGUAGAAAUCGGAUUUCAAGUACCCAUAAAACCAUUCCAUUUUGUACUUUUCAUACUGCAUUCAAUAAAUUACACAAGAUACUCAACACUUUAUUAUACAAUGGGCUUUGUGUUAGAUGAUUAAAUGCAUUUUUGACUUACGAUAUUUUCAACUUGUGAUGGGUUUAUCAGGACAUAAUCCCAUCAUAAGUUGAGAAGCAUGUGUAUUUUGAAAAAUAUUGCUAUCUAUCUUUUUAUAUUUUAAAAGUGCAUUUCUUUCUCUUAUAAAUGCAAAUGUUAUACCUUCUGGGCUUAACCUACAUCUCAAACUGUCAAGAUGAUAAGCAUCUGUUCAUUGGAUAAUUGUUCUUUUUAUUAUGUUUGACACAUUUUUAAUUGUUUGUAUUGAUUUAUUCUUCUUAGUAAUUGCAUGUGAUGAUCAGAAUAUUUUCUAUAUGACCUUCCUGCUUUGUCUUCAAGAGGAUGAUGUCUACUCCAGGUCAACUGCCACUCAGCCAUUCAUUGUCUGCCUUCUGGGAUCUGGGUUGACUGUGUGAGAGGCCUAAUGAGGUUUUAGAGGAAAAAUACAACAUGAAAGCCAGAAGAUAGGAGCUCAGAAAAGAACACGCUUCAUUUCUGCUCACAUUUUAUUUGCCAAAGCAAGGCACAUGGCCAAGCCUGAUGUUAAUGGGGUGGGAAUGAAUAUUUUGAAUAAUAUGUAAUUAUCCAAUGAUAAUUAAAUUGUUGGAUAUCCAGUAAUAACUAAAAUAUAUAUUUUAAUCUUCACACCAAGGAAAGAUGGAUGUCAUUUUCCCACACAUAGGAAUACUGAUUAGUGUUUUGCAGAAUGUCCUUUAGCUUGUUUUCUUCUGAUACUUUUCUCAUAAAACUGGGAUUAUGGUUUUUUUGGGGAGGGAAGGAGAGAUCACAGAGAAAAAUGCCAUUCUCACCACAUGAUAUCAAGGAUAUAUGCUAUUAACGUGACCCAUCAUUGUGAAUCUUAACCUUGGGGUCGGGCUUGUCAGUUCUCUCCACGGUGGUUACUUGUUUUCUUUCUUUCUAUAUUGUACUCUUUGGAAGGAAGUCACUAUGCACAAUACUCACUUAAGAAGUGAGGAGCUAUGCUUCACGUCUUUAAAAGCAUUUCCCCCAUUUUACAGGUUAGGAAUUGGAAGUUUAAGCCCAGGACAGCAUACUUCCUUAGUAGCAUCAAGACUGAUACCCAAGUCUGUCUGACAUAUAAAACUAUUCUUUCUUCAGUACUCCACAAAAACUAGUCCUACUCCUAUAAGAAUG